Melitaea cinxia (Glanville fritillary) is the source of this 102-nucleotide long non-coding RNA. RefSeq lists it as uncharacterized. NCBI's taxonomy places the organism in Eukaryota, Metazoa, Arthropoda, Insecta, Lepidoptera, Nymphalidae. The record is from RefSeq and is a predicted model, not a curated record. The transcript has 3 exons.
AGCUAACUCACAAAAUUCUGCCACGUGGUAUCACCGGCAACAACGGCACCGCACGUGUCCGCCACGCCAAGGACCCUGGAAGGUCACACCAGAAAGUGAGCC